Molecule: non-coding RNA, 131 nt
Organism: Styela clava
Lineage: Eukaryota; Metazoa; Chordata; Ascidiacea; Stolidobranchia; Styelidae
Product: small Cajal body-specific RNA 8
Source: RefSeq, a predicted model, not a curated record
UGGGAGCAUGAUACUCAGUGCAUGAGAGUAUUAUUACUGCACUGACACUUUGUCUCCCUACAUUAACAUGCUUUCUGAAUACCCUGACAUCUUAAGAACUGAUAAACGGGACAGAUACGGAGCAUACAACU